This 508-nucleotide ribosomal RNA is filed under the name uncultured bacterium. Its description in RNAcentral is "bacterial SSU rRNA". It matches the Rfam family "Bacterial small subunit ribosomal RNA", at positions 28 to 535 of the family's 1533-position model. The record is from RNAcentral.
GAUGAACGCUAGCGGCAGGCUUAACACAUGCAAGUCGAGGGGCAGCACGUCUUCGGAUGGUGGCGACCGGCGCACGGGUGAGUAACGCGUAUGCAAUCUACCUUUUACAGGGGCAUAGCCCGGGGAAACCCGGAUUAAUAUCCUAUAGUACCAUUAUAUAGCAUUAUAUUAUGGUUAAAGUUUCGGCGGUAAAAGAUGAGCAUGCGUCCUAUUAGCUUGAUGGUAAGGUAACGGCUUACCAUGGCUAUGAUAGGUAGGGGUCCUGAGAGGGAGACCCCCCACACUGGUACUGAGACACGGACCAGACUCCUACGGGAGGCAGCAGUGAGGAAUAUUGGACAAUGGGCGCAAGCCUGAUCCAGCCAUGCCGCGUGCGGGAAGACGGCCCUAUGGGUUGUAAACUGCUUUUAUACGGGAAGAAACACCCCCUCGUGAAGGGACUUGACGGUACCGUAUGAAUAAGGAUCGGCUAACUCCGUGCCAGCAGCCGCGGUAAUACGGAGGAUCC